This 254-nucleotide unclassified non-coding RNA is filed under the name Hevea brasiliensis (rubber tree). The record is from RNAcentral. Lineage: Eukaryota; Viridiplantae; Streptophyta; Magnoliopsida; Malpighiales; Euphorbiaceae.
GGUUGUUGUCCCUACCCCUCUUUGCUCCUGGGAACAUCACAUUGACCCUGUUAGUGCCUUGACAAAGCACAAAAUUGUUUCUCCAUCCCCACCGGCCCACCCUGCCUUGCCCUUUUCUUAAAUGAUGCUCUGUCAUUUUCUUUUUCUAUUUUUAUUUUUCCCCCUCUACUUAUUUUUAUUUUUUCCCCUCUACUUACUUGCAAAAUCAAAUACAAAUAUUAUGAGAAAAUUUUGAAUUAUUCGCUCUUGCAGGU